GGGAAGGUAGUCCAGUGGUAGAAUGCUUGCCUUGCAUGCAUGAAGCCCUGGGUUCAAUUCCUCAGCUCCA
RNAcentral lists this transfer RNA (70 nucleotides) under Dipodomys ordii (Ord's kangaroo rat). It matches the Rfam family "tRNA". From Rfam's summary of the family: Transfer RNA (tRNA) molecules are approximately 80 nucleotides in length. Their secondary structure includes four short double-helical elements and three loops (D, anti-codon, and T loops). Further hydrogen bonds mediate the characteristic L-shaped molecular structure. tRNAs have two regions of fundamental functional importance: the anti-codon, which is responsible for specific mRNA codon recognition, and the 3' end, to which the tRNAs corresponding amino acid is attached (by aminoacyl-tRNA synthetases). tRNAs cope with the degeneracy of the genetic code in two manners: having more than one tRNA (with a specific anti-codon) for a particular amino acid; and 'wobble' base-pairing, i.e. permitting non-standard base-pairing at the 3rd anti-codon position. Lineage: Eukaryota; Metazoa; Chordata; Mammalia; Rodentia; Heteromyidae. The record is from Rfam by way of RNAcentral.